GGGUCAGUAGGUUGGUCGUGCCACCGGUACGUACUGGUCUCACUGAUUCCUCCUUCCUGAAGAACCGUAAUGCCAUUAAUUUGGUGUUGCGGGGAAACAGGACUGUUACUUUGAAAAAAUUAGAGUUUUUAAAGCAAGCUAACGCUUGAAUACAUUAGCAAGGAAUAAUGAAAUAGGACGAUCGAUCCUAUUUUGUUGGUUUCUAGGAUUGACGUA
RNAcentral lists this ribosomal RNA (216 nucleotides) under Glomeromycotina sp. RNAcentral describes it as "partial small subunit ribosomal RNA". The stretch from base 40 to 216 matches the Rfam family "Eukaryotic small subunit ribosomal RNA", at positions 686 to 864 of the family's 1831-position model. The record is from RNAcentral. Lineage: Eukaryota; Fungi; Glomeromycota.